GGCCCCGUCGUCCAGUGGUCAGGACGCCGGAUUUUCAUUCCGGAAACACGGGUUCGAUCCCCGUCGGGGCUA
This 72-nucleotide transfer RNA is filed under the name Actinomycetota bacterium. RNAcentral describes it as "tRNA-Glu". It matches the Rfam family "tRNA". From Rfam's summary of the family: Transfer RNA (tRNA) molecules are approximately 80 nucleotides in length. Their secondary structure includes four short double-helical elements and three loops (D, anti-codon, and T loops). Further hydrogen bonds mediate the characteristic L-shaped molecular structure. tRNAs have two regions of fundamental functional importance: the anti-codon, which is responsible for specific mRNA codon recognition, and the 3' end, to which the tRNAs corresponding amino acid is attached (by aminoacyl-tRNA synthetases). tRNAs cope with the degeneracy of the genetic code in two manners: having more than one tRNA (with a specific anti-codon) for a particular amino acid; and 'wobble' base-pairing, i.e. permitting non-standard base-pairing at the 3rd anti-codon position. The record is from RNAcentral. Lineage: Bacteria; Bacillati; Actinomycetota. RNAcentral also lists the same sequence under 1 other name.